Molecule: ribosomal RNA, 653 nt
Filed under: Glomeromycotina sp. AB-2014
Lineage: Eukaryota; Fungi; Glomeromycota
Description: SSU rRNA
Rfam family: Eukaryotic small subunit ribosomal RNA
Source: RNAcentral
GUAACGGGGUGUUAGGGCACGACACCGGAGAGGGAGCCUGAGAAACGGCUACCACAUCCAAGGAUGGCAGCAGGCGCGCAAAUUACCCAAUCCCGACACGGGGAGGUAGUGACAAUAAAUAACAAUACGGGGUUCUUUCGGAUCUCGUAAUUGGAAUGAGUACAAUUUAAAUCUCUUAACGAGGAACAAUUGGAGGGCAAGUCUGGUGCCAGCAGCCGCGGUAAUUCCAGCUCCAAUAGCGUAUAUUAAAGUUGUUGCAGUUAAAAAGCUCGUAGUUGAAUUUCGGGGUUAGCAGGUCGGUCGUGCCAUCGGUAUGAACUGGCCUCGCUGAUCCCUCCCUCUUGACGAACUGUGAUGCCAUUAAUUUGGUGUCGCAGGGAAUCAGGACUGUUACUUUGAAAAAAUUAGAGUGUUUAAAGCAGGCUCACGCUUGAAUACAUUAGCAUGGAAUAAUGAAAUAGGACGUUUGAUCCUAUUUUGUUGGUUUCUAGGAUUGACGUAAUGAUUAAUAGGGAUAGUUGGGGGCAUUAGUAUUCAAUUGUCAGAGGUGAAAUUCUUGGAUUUAUUGAAGACUAACUACUGCGAAAGCAUUUGCCAAGGAUGUUUUCAUUAAUCAAGAACGAAAGUUAGGGGAUCGAAGACGAUCAGAUACC